CCUACGGGUGGCAGCAGUGGGGAAUAUUGGGCAAUGGGCGCAAGCCUGACCCAGCAACGCCGCGUGAAGGAAGAAGGCUUUCGGGUUGUAAACUUCUUUUGUCAGGGACGAAGCAAGUGACGGUACCUGACGAAUAAGCCACGGCUAACUACGUGCCAGCAGCCGCGGUAAUACGUAGGUGGCAAGCGUUAUCCGGAUUUACUGGGUGUAAAGGGCGUGUAGGCGGGACUGCAAGUCAGAUGUGAAAACCACGGGCUCAACCUGUGGCCUGCAUUUGAAACUGUAGUUCUUGAGUACUGGAGAGGCAGACGGAAUUCCUAGUGUAGCGGUGAAAUGCGUAGAUAUUAGGAGGAACUCCGAUUGCGAAGGCAGCUCACUGGACUGCAACUGACACUGAUGCUCGAAAGUGUGGGUAUCAAACAGGAUUAGAUACCCGUGUAGUC
Molecule: ribosomal RNA, 443 nt
Filed under: uncultured bacterium
Lineage: Bacteria
Description: partial 16S ribosomal RNA
Rfam family: Bacterial small subunit ribosomal RNA
Source: RNAcentral